This 305-nucleotide ribosomal RNA is filed under the name uncultured bacterium. Its description in RNAcentral is "bacterial SSU rRNA". It matches the Rfam family "Bacterial small subunit ribosomal RNA", at positions 333 to 637 of the family's 1533-position model. The record is from RNAcentral.
AUAGCCUACGGGGCGCAGCAGUGAGGAAUAUUGGUCAAUGGGCGAGAGCCUGAACCAGCCAAGUCGAGUGAGGGAAGACGGUCAUAUGGACUGUAAACCUCUUUUGCCGGGGAGCAAAAAGCGGUACGUGUACCGCAUCGAGAGUACCCGGAGAAAAAGCAUCGGCUAACUCCGUGCCAGCAGCCGCGGUAAUACGGAGGAUGCGAGCGUUAUCCGGAUUUAUUGGGGUUAAAGGGUGCGCAGGCGGCGAGUUAAGUCAGCGGUAAAAUUUCGGGGCUCAACCUCGACAAGCCGUUGAAACUGGU